This 72-nucleotide transfer RNA is filed under the name Bos taurus (domestic cattle). It matches the Rfam family "tRNA". Rfam says of the family: Transfer RNA (tRNA) molecules are approximately 80 nucleotides in length. Their secondary structure includes four short double-helical elements and three loops (D, anti-codon, and T loops). Further hydrogen bonds mediate the characteristic L-shaped molecular structure. tRNAs have two regions of fundamental functional importance: the anti-codon, which is responsible for specific mRNA codon recognition, and the 3' end, to which the tRNAs corresponding amino acid is attached (by aminoacyl-tRNA synthetases). tRNAs cope with the degeneracy of the genetic code in two manners: having more than one tRNA (with a specific anti-codon) for a particular amino acid; and 'wobble' base-pairing, i.e. permitting non-standard base-pairing at the 3rd anti-codon position. Lineage: Eukaryota; Metazoa; Chordata; Mammalia; Artiodactyla; Bovidae. The record is from Rfam by way of RNAcentral. RNAcentral also lists the same sequence under 1 other name.
UCCCUGGUGGCUCAGAUGGUAAAGCAUCUGCCUGCAAUGCGGGAUAUCCGGGUUCAAUCCCUGGGCUGGGAA